This 74-nucleotide transfer RNA is filed under the name Bdellovibrionales bacterium. RNAcentral's name for it is "tRNA-Arg". It matches the Rfam family "tRNA". From Rfam's summary of the family: Transfer RNA (tRNA) molecules are approximately 80 nucleotides in length. Their secondary structure includes four short double-helical elements and three loops (D, anti-codon, and T loops). Further hydrogen bonds mediate the characteristic L-shaped molecular structure. tRNAs have two regions of fundamental functional importance: the anti-codon, which is responsible for specific mRNA codon recognition, and the 3' end, to which the tRNAs corresponding amino acid is attached (by aminoacyl-tRNA synthetases). tRNAs cope with the degeneracy of the genetic code in two manners: having more than one tRNA (with a specific anti-codon) for a particular amino acid; and 'wobble' base-pairing, i.e. permitting non-standard base-pairing at the 3rd anti-codon position. The record is from RNAcentral. Lineage: Bacteria; Pseudomonadati; Bdellovibrionota; Bdellovibrionia; Bdellovibrionales.
GCACCCUUAGCUCAGCCGGAUAGAGCACUUGGCUUCGAACCAAGGUGUCGGGGGUUCGAAUCCCUCAGGGUGCG